Molecule: ribosomal RNA, 496 nt
Filed under: uncultured bacterium
Lineage: Bacteria
Description: bacterial SSU rRNA
Rfam family: Bacterial small subunit ribosomal RNA
Source: RNAcentral
GAUGAACGCUAGCGGCAGGCUUAAUACAUGCAAGUCGAGGGGUAUAAAGUAGCUUGCUAUUUUAGAGACCGGCAAACGGUGCGGAACACGUACACAAUCUAACCUUAUCUGGGGGAUAGCCCAUAGAAAUGUGGAUUAAUACCCCAUAGUAUUACGGAGUGGCAUCAUUUUGUAAUUAAAGAAUUUCGGAUAAGGAUGAGUGUGCGUCUGAUUAGGUAGUUGGCGGGGUAACGGCCCACCAAGCCGACGAUCAGUAGCUGAUGUGAGAGCAUGAUCAGCCACACGGGCACUGAGACACGGGCCCGACUCCUACGGGAGGCAGCAGUAAGGAUAUUGGUCAAUGGACGGAAGUCUGAACCAGCCAUGCCGCGUGAAGGACGAAGGCGUUCUGCGUUGUAAACUUCUUUUAUCAGAGAAGAGACCACCGAUUUCUAUUGGUGUUGACGGUAUCUGAUGAAUAAGCACCGGCUAACUCCGUGCCAGCAGCCGCGGUAAU